This 496-nucleotide ribosomal RNA is filed under the name uncultured bacterium. RNAcentral's name for it is "partial 16S ribosomal RNA". It matches the Rfam family "Bacterial small subunit ribosomal RNA", at positions 28 to 507 of the family's 1533-position model. The record is from RNAcentral.
GACGAACGCUGGCGGCGUGCCUAAUACAUGCAAGUUGAGCGCUGAAGGUUGGUACUUGUACCCACUGGAUGAGCAGCAAACGGGUGAGUAACGCGUGGGGAAUCUGCCUUUGAGCGGGGGACAACAUUUGGAAACGAAUGCUAAUACCGCAUAAAACUUUAAACACAAGUUUUAAGUUUGAAAGAUGCAAUUGCAUCACUCAAAGAUGAUCCCGCGUUGUAUUAGCUAGUUGGUGAGGUAAAGGCUCACCAAGGCGAUGAUACAUAGCCGACCUGAGAGGGUGAUCGGCCACAUUGGGACUGAGACACGGCCCAAACUCCUACGGGAGGCAGCAGUAGGGAAUCUUCGGCAAUGGACGAAAGUCUGACCGAGCAACGCCGCGUGAGUGAAGAAGGUUUUCGGAUCGUAAAACUCUGUUGGUAGAGAAGAACGUUGGUGAGAGUGGAAAGCUCAUCAAGUGACGGUAACUACCCAGAAAGGGACGGCUAACUACGUG